Molecule: non-coding RNA, 1236 nt
Organism: Chelmon rostratus (copperband butterflyfish)
Lineage: Eukaryota; Metazoa; Chordata; Actinopteri; Chaetodontiformes; Chaetodontidae
Source: the annotation of a RefSeq genome assembly
UCAUGGCAGUACUUUCUCCUAACAGAGCUCGACAAUGUCUUCGCCUAUGCACACAUUUGGUUUUCUGUACAUCUGGUUUUCAUGUCAAGUGAGCGCUGUUACAUUUGAGCAAUCUUCUCCUCAGAUAGUGAAGGAGAGCAGUGAGGUCCAGAUUAACUGCAGUCAUGAUGAUACGUCCCUCGUAAUGAUGCUCUGGUAUCAGCAAAGAAAGGACAGCCUGUCUAUGACCCUCAUCGGGUAUGGAUAUGAAAGCUCCCCGAACUAUGAGGGUCAGUUUGAAGAACAAUUCAAGCUGAUAAGACAAAGCACAGCAAGAGGAACGCUGAUUAUUCACAGUGCAAACCCGUCACACUCGGCUGUUUAUUUCUGCGCUGCUAUGGACAAGUACGAAGCUUAUUUCGGCCAAGGCACAAAACUGACAGUUCUCGAACCAGGGCUUUCUGUCACUGAACCAACAGUGAAAGUGCUUCCACCUUCGCCAAAGGAAUGCCGGAACCAAAAAGACAAUAAAAGGAAGAAGACCUUAGUUUGUGUGGCCAGUGGAUUCUACCCAGACCAUGUCAGCGUAUUCUGGACGAUUGACAGGGACAAUGUCACUGAAGGUGUGGCAACGGACAACGCUGCUGUGCGGGUUGGCAACUCUUACAAAAUCACCAGCAGGUUGAGGGUCUCAGCACAGACCUGGCACACACCGGGAAGGGAUUUCAGAUGCAUUGUCAGUUUCUACAAUGGAACACAUACCAUCUAUCCUGAAGCCUCAGUUAGUGGUGUGGCAGGUACCAGUAAGGGCAUGAACAGAGAGAGAUAUUUGAGGAUCUCACAGACUGCCAAACUCUCCUAUGGUGUUUUCAUCGUCAAGAGCAGCGUCUAUGGAGCCUUUGUUGCUUUUCUGGUGUGGAAGCUUCAGGGUUCAACUGGAAAGCAAAACAACUGAGAGCUGAGGGAGGCCAGAUGAUCUUUGGCGAUGGAUUAUCUUUUCUGUCAAUACAAUUUGUAGAACAUAGUGGUUUUAUAUUUCCACUACUUUGUAUAUCACAGUACAUUUGCUUUCAUGUAUAAAUGAGCCAAUACAAUUCUGCGAACGUUAGAGGAAAAGUUCAUAUUCUUAUUACAAUAUUAAAAGCUACAAGUGGCAUGAAAGUGAGUUUGGUGUAAUGUUCUUUCACCACAUCCAUGUGUUUGUAGUUGUGAACCAUUUGAUGCUUAAUUUUCUUUUCAAUAAAGUAUAUCAGAGGA